Long non-coding RNA from Zalophus californianus (California sea lion), 1084 nucleotides. RefSeq lists it as uncharacterized. The record is from RefSeq and is a predicted model, not a curated record. NCBI's taxonomy places the organism in Eukaryota, Metazoa, Chordata, Mammalia, Carnivora, Otariidae. The transcript is spliced from 4 exons.
ACAGGUGGAAAUCAAUAGGCUCGGAGACGAUAGGAAGUCAAGCCCGGGCGGACUUAGUGAUCUCUACAUCCAACACGGGACUCAAAUUCAUGAUCCUGAGAUCAAGAGUCGCAUGCUCUUCCGACGGAGCCAGCCAGGCGCCCCAGCAUUUAAUUAGUACUCACUGAAGGUGAUGGGCCUGGGAACCCGUUGGAAACCUGGCAGGCAGGGAGAUGCCUCCUUCCACAGCAAACGGCAGGUGUCUUUCAAGCCCUAGGAGGAAGGAAUGGAGGAGAGAAGAGGAGAAAUUCAGCCUCUGAAUCACCUGGAUAUAGGGGCCUGAGGCUUACCUCUUUAAGAAAAAGAAUGCAAAAACCUCUCCCUUCUGCAAAUAUUUUACAAUUGUAUGACCGCGUGUAUGAUCAUGUGACUCUUGGAAGGAGCCCCUGCCAGGGAAGGACUCAAGCUGAAGCUUCAUAAGCUUUCUUGUAAACAGUCUCUGCCUGCCUUCACCUUUUUGUCUUCUGAAUUUGAACACUAUCAAUUUUAUUCCCUACCCUCAAAAAUUAUACAUUUCUGAAUGAGUAAAUGAAUACAGGCAUUUCCAUGCCCAGGUAAAAGAUAUUUUGAGAAAUGCAGAAACAUAUUCUCCCGUGAGUCUCCUGAUGCUAAUGGCUCCAGGACAAGCCAGCUUUACCAUUCCUCUUGUCUUUCCAGGAUGUUGCAACUGGGCAUGUUUCCAUGGCAUCCCUUAUUUUUUUCUGGCAGGACAGAAAGGGCCCAGGGCAGGGGAUUGGGAGAUUGGGGUUCUAGUCCCAACUUCACAACUACAGAGAGGGCUGGGGCAGAAGCAGCAGUGGGUGAGCUGCAUAAUUCCCCAGGAGAGGCUGAGGCCUGGGGAGAGCAAUGUGGCUGCUGACCCCAGGGGGUACAACUGGGUCCUCCUACAGCAAGAACUCCAAGUCCAGGGCUCUUUCCGCUGUACUCCCCCUUCUUGUAUCUUCCUCUAGCCGUGCAUUCUUGGGAAAAUGAUUUCUGACCCUUCUGAUGUUUGGUUUCUUCCUCUGUACAAGAAAGGGCUAGAACCAGAUAACCCAUAAAUUCC